ACGUAGGUGGCGAGCGUUAUCCGGAAUUAUUGGGCGUAAAGGGUGCGUAGGCGGCCUUUUAAGUUUGUGGUGAAAGCGUGGGGCUCAACCCCAUACAGCCAUAGAUACUGGGAGGCUAGAGUACUGGAGAGGGUAGUGGAAUUCCAUGUGUAGCGGUAAAAUGCGUAGAUAUAUGGAGGAACACCGGUGGCGAAGGCGGCUACCUAGCCAGAGACUGACGCUGAGGCACGAAAGCGUGGGGAGCAAAUAG
RNAcentral lists this ribosomal RNA (250 nucleotides) under uncultured bacterium. RNAcentral describes it as "partial 16S ribosomal RNA". It matches the Rfam family "Bacterial small subunit ribosomal RNA", at positions 525 to 775 of the family's 1533-position model. The record is from RNAcentral.